RNAcentral lists this long non-coding RNA (342 nucleotides) under Mytilus galloprovincialis (Mediterranean mussel). The record is from RNAcentral. Lineage: Eukaryota; Metazoa; Mollusca; Bivalvia; Mytilida; Mytilidae.
CCGAAAUAUUGGCGCGGAUGGAUUCAAAGAACUAACUACAGCAAUGGCGGAACAGCUGUUCAUAUCUCUUAUUCCUGGGAACUAUCUGUAAUAUCUGCGAUUAUUCCGGGAACGUCACGCACAAACCUUCGGGACAAUUACUUGUUACGUAACGUCGCUACAGCGAUACCAAUUGUAUAUUUGUCAGCCAUUAUUAAAUUACUAUCUGAACCAUCAAGUCUUGCUCCGAUCUUUCAAUGGCGACGAGGAUUAAAAACAAAGAAAAAAGCAGUGUUUAGCAGCGUAAAUAAAGAGAAAAUUUACCGGAACACAGAAUUGAAAGAAGAUAGUGCUAAAACAAGG